UAGAAAGAAAUUCUGCAGUUAACAAAAU
Molecule: non-coding RNA, 28 nt
Filed under: Mus musculus (house mouse)
Lineage: Eukaryota; Metazoa; Chordata; Mammalia; Rodentia; Muridae
Source: RNAcentral